Molecule: ribosomal RNA, 603 nt
Filed under: Schmidingerella taraikaensis
Lineage: Eukaryota; Ciliophora; Spirotrichea; Tintinnida; Rhabdonellidae
Description: partial Bacterial small subunit ribosomal RNA
Rfam family: Bacterial small subunit ribosomal RNA
Source: RNAcentral
UGACGUUAACGUCAGAAGAAGCACCGGCUAACUCCGUGCCAGCAGCCGCGGUAAUACGGAGGAUCCAAGCGUUAUCCGGAAUCAUUGGGUUUAAAGGGUCCGCAGGCGGAUUUAUAAGUCAGUGGUGAAAGCCUACAGCUUAACUGUAGAACUGCCAUUGAUACUGUAAGUCUUGAAUUCGGUCGAAGUGGGCGGAAUAUGUCAUGUAGCGGUGAAAUGCUUAGAUAUGACAUAGAACACCGAUAGCGAAGGCAGCUCACUAGGCCUGGAUUGACGCUCAGGGACGAAAGCGUGGGGAGCGAACAGGAUUAGAUACCCUGGUAGUCCACGCCCUAAACGAUGUCAACUAGGUGUGUGAAAGUAUAUCUUUUGCGUAUCGAAGCUAACGCGAUAAGUUGACCGCCUGGGGAGUACGGCCGCAAGGUUAAAACUCAAAGGAAUUGACGGGGGCUCACACAAGCGGUGGAGGAUGUGGCUUAAUUCGAGGCAACGCGAAGAACCUUAUCCCGGACUUGACAUCUAUGGAUUAGCAUUGUGAAAGCAGUGUGACGCCUUCGGGUGGAACAUAGACAGGUGCUGCAUGGCUGUCGUCAGCUCGUGCCG